GGAUUCCCCUAGUAACUGCGAGUGAAGCGGGAAAAGCUCAAAUUUAAAAUCUGGUGGUCUCUGGCCAUCCGAGUUGUAAUCUAGAGAAGUGUUACCCGCGUCGGACCGUGUAUAAGUCUCCUGGAAUGGAGCGUCAUAGAGGGUGAGAAUCCCGUCUUUGACACGGACUACCGAGGCUUUGUGGUAUGCUCUCAAAGAGUCGAGUUGUUUGGGAAUGCAGCUCAAAAUGGGUGGUAAAUUCCAUCUAAAGCUAAAUAUUGGCGAGAGACCGAUAGCGAACAAGUACCGUGAGGGAAAGAUGAAAAGAACUUUGGAAAGAGAGUUAAACAGUACGUGAAAUUGCUGAAAGGGAAACGCUUGAAGUCAGUCGCGUUGGCCGGGAAUCAGCCUUGCUUUUGCUUGGUGUACUUUCUGGUUGACGGGCCAGCAUCAGUUUUGACCGGUGGAAAAAGUUCAGGGGAAUGUGGCAUCUUCGGAUGUGUUAUAGCCCUUGUUCGUAUACAUCGGUUGGGACUGAGGAACUCAGCACGCCGCAAGGCCGGGUCUUUGACCACGUUCGUGCUUAGGAUGCUGGCAUAAUGGCUUUAAUCGACCCGUCUUGAAACACGGACCAAGGAGUCUAACAUGCCUGCGAGUGUUUGGGUGGAAAACCCGAGCGCGUAAUGAAAGUGAAAGUUGAGAUCCCUGUCAUGGGGAGCAUCGACGCCCGGACCUGACGUUUUCUGACGGCCCUGCGGUAGAGCAUGUAUGUUGGGACCCGAAAGAUGGUGAACUAUGCCUGAAUAGGGUGAAGCCAGAGGAAACUCUGGUGGAGGCUCGUAGCGAUUCUGACGUGCAAAUCGAUCGUCAAAUUUGGGUAUAGGGGCGAAAGACU
This 874-nucleotide ribosomal RNA is filed under the name Candolleomyces bivelatus. Its description in RNAcentral is "Psathyrella bivelata partial large subunit ribosomal RNA". It matches the Rfam family "Eukaryotic large subunit ribosomal RNA", at positions 72 to 932 of the family's 3401-position model. Lineage: Eukaryota; Fungi; Basidiomycota; Agaricomycetes; Agaricales; Psathyrellaceae. The record is from RNAcentral.